GCUAGGGUUAGGGUUAGGGUUAGGGUUGUGGCUGAGGCUAGGGUUAGGGUUAGGGUUAGAGUUAUGUUUGAGGCUAGGGUUAGGGUUAGGGUUAGGGUUGUGGUUGAGGCUAGGGUUAGGGUUAGGGUUAGGGUUAGGGUUAUGGUUGAGGCUAGGGUCGGGUUAGGGUUAGGGUUGUGGCUGAGGCUAGGGUUAGGGUUAGGGUUAGGGUUAUGGUGAUUUUUGAGGCUAGAGUUAGGGUUAGGGUUACGGUUGUGGUUGAGGCUAGGGUUAGGGUUAGGGUUAGAGAGCUUUUCGAGGCUAGGGUUAGGGUUAUGGUUAUGGUUGAGGCUAGGGUUAGGGUUAUGGUUAUGGUUAUGGUUGAGGCUAGGGUUAGGGUUAGGGUUAUGGUUGAGGCUAGGGUUAGGGUUUUGGCUGAGGCUUGGGUUAGGGUUACGUUUGAGGCUAGGGUUAGGGUUAGGGUUAGAGUGAUGUUUGAGGCUAGGGAUAGGGUUAGGGUUAGGGUUGUGGUUGAGGCUAGGGUUAGGGUUAGGGUUAGAGAGAUAUUUGAGGCUAGGGUUAGGGUUACGGUUAGAGUGAUGUUUGAGGCUAGGGUUAGGGUUAUGGUUGAGGCUAGGGUUAGGGUUAGGGUUAGAGUUGUGGCUGAGGCUAGGGUUAGGGUUUGGGUUAGGGUUACAUUUGAGGCUAGGGUUAGGGUUAGGGUUAGAGUGAUGUUUGAGGCUAGGGUUAGGGUUAGGGUUAGGGUUGUGGUUGAGGCUAGGGUUAGGGUUAGGGUUGUGGAUGAGGCUAGGGUUAGAGUUAGGGUUAUGUUGAGGCUAGGGUUAGGGUUAGGGUUAUGUGUGAGGCUAGAGUAAGGGUUAGGGUUAGGGUCGAGGCUAGGGUUAGGGUUAGGGUUAUGGUUGAGGCUAGGGUUAGGGUUCGGGUCAGGGUUGAUGCUAGGGUUAGGGUUAGGGUCAUUGAUGAGGCUAGUGUUAGGGUUAGGGUUGAGGCCAGGGUUAGGGUUUGAGCUCGGGGUAGGGGUUAGGGGUUAGGAUUAGGGUUUGUGUACGGGUUGAUGUUCGGUCUAGGGUCAGGGCUAGGGUCAGGGUUAGGGUUAGGGUAAGGGUUGAGGUUCGGGCUAGGGUCAGGGCUAGGGUUAGGGUUAGGGUUGAGGCUAGGGUUAGGGUUAGGGUUAGGGUUAGGGUUCGGGUUAGGGUCAUGGAUUUCGGCUAAGAAUCACUUUCCAGGACCUUUCUACAU
RNAcentral lists this long non-coding RNA (1239 nucleotides) under Xyrichtys novacula (pearly razorfish). Lineage: Eukaryota; Metazoa; Chordata; Actinopteri; Labriformes; Labridae. The record is from RNAcentral.